GGAGAGUUGUCCGAGCGGUUUAAGGAGCACGCUUGGAAAGCGUGUGUACUCACAAGGUACCGAGGGUUCGAAUCCCUCACUCUCCGCCA
Molecule: transfer RNA, 89 nt
Filed under: Alphaproteobacteria bacterium
Lineage: Bacteria; Pseudomonadati; Pseudomonadota; Alphaproteobacteria
Description: tRNA-Ser
Rfam family: tRNA
About the family: Transfer RNA (tRNA) molecules are approximately 80 nucleotides in length.
Source: RNAcentral